UAAAACAAAAAGGGGCCCUAAGCCCAUUAGGGCCGGACACGGAGCGGAUUUCUGAGAUUUUGGUGGUAUUUGUGAUCCGUUUGCUUUAUCAGAUUACUUAGUUUUCCGAUUUGUAUUUGCUUUGUUGGAGACUGAAUAUCUGGCUGUACGAAUAUCCGUUAAAAUCUAAACUCUUUGUUAGAUAUCCGAUUAGUUAAAUAUUAUUUUUUUAAAAGUAAAAAAUACAAAAAAAUUAAA
This 237-nucleotide small RNA is filed under the name Arabidopsis thaliana (thale cress). RNAcentral's name for it is "ATSL082070". Lineage: Eukaryota; Viridiplantae; Streptophyta; Magnoliopsida; Brassicales; Brassicaceae. The record is from RNAcentral.